AUCACUGCUAUCCUUAAUAUGCUAUUACACUGCAAUUGUUUUCUAUAUUACUUAAAUGAAAAUAAAAAACCUGCCUCUUACAGCUUUACUAUCGAUACAUCCUUUUCCUGUGAUAUUAUUUGAUGCCUAAUAAGUCCUUUGCAAGUGAAAGUUAAAAAUAUACUUGGUAAGUUGUCAAAAUGGAGCAUUUAGUUGCAAAACGGAGGAGAAAAAGAGGUUGUUGUGAAAAUAAUCCAGAAGUAUCAUUAAACUGAACAAUUUGAAUGUUUUUAGUGUCUUUUCAUGAUUCUAAUGGUUUCCUUGACAUUACGAAAGUAGUUGUUAGGGUAAAUUUUAUUGGUGAAUUAUUGAUUUUGAAGUUUAUGCAAUUGUGCUUGUUUCCCCUUAAGAACUCAAAGAGUAAUCUAGUUUGGGAAAGGACAGAUAAUUCUAGCACGUCGUGUGCAUAAUCCAAAAUAGUGCUAACUGGAGUUACUUUCCCAUCAUUGAGACGAACAAACAAGUCAAGAUUCACCUGUUUCACUAGUAAUGUGAAAUAUAGGUCAUGAUAAGAGUUGUAAAAGAAUAUUGCUGUCUGAAAGUGGGGCUGUUUGAAGUAUUCUUGCUGUAAGAAGAUGAUAUUGGUGGUUGAAUCAGAUAGCAUGUUUUUGAUAAAGACAAAGAAGGUAAAUGUUAUUAAACUUUUCCAAAGGUAUUAAAUUAUAACUAGGGAAUUCCUGAUUGAUCUUCUCAUUGUUUAUUGUCAUAGGGGAUGUAUGGGUUUGAUUGUUCUAUAUUUAAUUUCCCCGGUUUCUACUGCAUAAAUAUGGUGUUGCUGGCUGCUUGAUUUUACAUGUUAUCAUCUUGUUGGCUGCUUGAUUACGG
This 864-nucleotide unclassified non-coding RNA is filed under the name Hevea brasiliensis (rubber tree). The record is from RNAcentral. Lineage: Eukaryota; Viridiplantae; Streptophyta; Magnoliopsida; Malpighiales; Euphorbiaceae.